This is an RNA transcript of Arachis stenosperma, 4342 nucleotides long. RefSeq lists it as uncharacterized. The record is from RefSeq and is a predicted model, not a curated record. Lineage: Eukaryota; Viridiplantae; Streptophyta; Magnoliopsida; Fabales; Fabaceae. The transcript is spliced from 6 exons.
CCCCAAUUUCUCCAUUAGGUAUUGCGAGCUUAUACUCCCCUCCCAACUUAGGAACCGUAGCAACCCACGGAACGGCGCAUCUAUCUUCUUCCCUUCACCUUCGCUGGGUCUCGUGUUUCCUGUCAAUGCCGGCAAACUGUCUCCUUGACUUCCCUCCAGCCGCUGACCGACUCCCGUCUCCGAUGGAGGUUGCGGUCUUGAAGAUUAGAGUCGUGGUUGUUGCAGCUCUCCACGAUCAUUAUCAUUUCAUCCCUAGAAGCACCAUCUAUUCCACGGUCGCCGUUCAUCUCUACGUCGCGCAUCUCUGUUCCAGCAUCGCCGGUGUCAGUUUGGUUCCACAGUUCAUGGAUGAUUGGUCCGGGUCUUACCUAAACUCCAAUAAAUGCAGUGGUUGGACACAUUCCCUUUGCAGUCUUAAGUGCAUCGUAUUGCAUUUGAACACUGUUGAGCAUCCAGGAUAUGUAAACACUCCAGAGUUACAUGAAUCGACUGCAUAUAAUUUACAAAGAGGGCUUGUGUUGAAAUAAAUGAGAAUUCAUGCUAAAUAUAGUCUAGAUUCAAAAUGUGAAAUUUAGCAAGUACUAUCUGAAAUACAAAGGGACUCUAGCAUGUGCCGACUUGAAGUAAACUAACUGAUCAGCAUUCACCUGUGGUAAGGACUUUGUUGAUGUAAGGUCUUGGCUCUCUGCUGAACUAUAUGCUUCUUUUGGAUCAAUGGUUACAUGAAUUAUCAGUAAUGAGAUAACGAUGAAUCUUUGCAAUUAAUCUGGGUUGUUUUUCGCAUAAAUGUCAGAGUAACCACAUGGGUGGUUUAUCCUCAUCGAUAUUGUGAUAUGGUGAUGUCAUAUGUGGUUGUUUAUAUGUUAUAAAUUGCUUUCAGCCUUUGCCAAUGCCUAAUGGAUUUUCCUGAAUAGGAUGCAUGUUUCUAUGAUCUAUCGUAUUGGAUUUAUGUGUUGAUUUUUGCAUUUAGUUAUAUUAUUCUUUUUUUUCAAUAAAUGCUGGGUUUUUUUCUGUUUAAAAUGGUAUUUCAAUUGUGUGUUCGUUAAUUUUGUGCUAAAGGAUUUUUUCUAUUACUACUCCUACUGGAAAGUACUUUCCUAACCUCUUCUCUGUUUUACUAAUUUGACAUGCCUGGAAAGAUUUACAAAUUAGUGGGUUAGUUGAAAACUUGAAAUCUGAGGCUUGAAAGUUGAAACCUCCUAUAUUCAUUUUUUCUUCUGUAGGCAACAAUUUAUUAGCUAAACUAUUCUGUUUUGAACUUACAAUUACAACAGAUAUGAUUAUGAUGAUGAUAAUUCUAUUAUAUAGUUGAUUGAUUAUUAUUGUUUUGUGUGUGAAUCAUGGAAGAAGUUGUUGGAUAUGUUUAUACAGACAAGCAUUUCUAUUGCUCUGGAAAGUUAUAGAGGAUUGAAAAGCCAGUUGCUUUUUAUCAGGUUUUGGAUCAAUUGAGUGGUUGGAAUAGUAUUUGGUAUAAAUAAUUUUUUUAUUGUAUUAUUUUUUGCAAAUCUGUGUGAUACAGUGAAAACCACUCACUGUGGAUGUGGGGGUUUCUAUAUAUGACAAUAUCAUGGUUCUUCUAUUACAUUGUGUGAUGCAGUUUUUUUUUAAUUCCUAAUUAUUAUACCAUUAUUAUAACUAUAUAUUUUUCUUAGACUAAAUUAUAAUUUUAGUUCUCAUAAAAUUCAAUUUAUUUACAAAAUUAUUUUUGGAAAAAAAUGGAUAUUUUAAGUUUUCAAAUGUCAUCUUAAUUUGAUAGGGUUUCAGAAAUUUUAUUUUGUAUAUGAAAAUAAUUCAUAUAUUUAAAUUUUUUUUUGUUGUGGGUUAAUUAGAAAUUUUAUUCUAGAGUACAUAUAUACAAUUAUUAUCUAGAUAUAGUUUAUCUUUUUUUUAUGGUAUACAAGUUAUCCAUCCAGAAGAUAUAAAAAAAAGAGAAAAAUCACUUUAAAAGAUUGUUAGGAAGAUUUAAUUAUUAAAAAAGAUUUUUAAUAUUAAAAUUAUUAACAAUAAUUAAUUUUUAUUUUAACAUAUAUCAUAUUUAAGAAGACAAUUUUUUUAUAAAAAAAUAAAUAUAUUCUUCAUUAUUUUUUUAGUUAUUUUUUUUAAUCCGUAUGUUAAUCUUUUUUAUAUUGCUAAAAUAUUUCUUGAUUACUUAAUUAUUUAUUUCUUUGUCUUCUGUGGUUUUCCAUCAUUCUUUUCUCUAAUUAUCAGUAGAAAAUAAAAAAAAUUAUGAAAGUUACUUAAACUUUAGGAGAAAUAAAAUUUAUUCAUAUAAAAAAUUCUAAAAUAAAUAAAAAAUGAUAUUAAGAUAUAUUUUUCUCAAUAUUUAGUUCUUUUUAACUAUCAUAAAUAUUAACAAAAAUUUAGUCCUUAAUAAUUGUGUGAUUAUUUAUCUUCUUGAAUAAUUAAUUUGUCAUAACCACUAUUUAGUGUAAUUUAUUUUAAAAAAAAGUAUCCAGAUAAUUUUAAUUAUUAUCUUCUAUCUUCUACUAUCUUCUAUUAGUAUUUUCCCUUUUUUAAAGUCACCAACAAAACCUAAAAAAACCAAAGGUCCCUCCCUUCUCUCUCUCCCACACGCAAAACAAAAAAAAGAGAACCUCAGAAGAAGUAACUGAGUGACCGUCUGUCAUCUCUCUUUGGUGUCUCACGUCACUCAACCCAGAAACUCCACCACCCAACAUUACCAGGGUUAAACCCCAUAUCCUCCUACAAAUUCCAGAACUCUCGUCCUCUGCGGUGUCUCCCGGUGCCUUCGAUUCCUACGAACGAGAUAUCUCUGACAGUUUCUCAGCGGAUAGUGCUCUUGCUUGGGCUCUUGAGAGAUAUCCAGAAUACAUAGUUCGUCCAAUGAGCAAGAGACGUGAUGAUAAGUUUUGAAGUGUGGAUAAGAGCUAAUUUUGCUGAUCAUUCUGAUUAUUAAGCCAGAUUUAAGAUAGCUGAAAUAGGUUUUUUGGGCAUUAUUUUUCUACGAUGAAUCUCGUUGCACGUAGAAGUGAUCGCACAAGGUUGAGAUUAUAUUGUUUUCCUUUUUUAUUAAGGAUUUCUUGUUAUGUAUGCUGUAAACAUAUUGAGUUGGGUUAAUUUAGGCGUUUCUUUGGCACAAGAGAGCAUUGACAAAAUGAUAAGAAAGAAACAAUUAUGUUUCGUGCAUACAGAGGACGGGUAUAUAUUUAGAUUAAUAUAUCAUUUCUGUUUUUUUUUUUAAUCUUGGGCCAUGUGAUCAAUACAUAAAUCAUAUAUAACUGAAUUAGUAAAAUUAAUGGUAAAAAAUUAAAUGUAUAUGAUAAGUCUCUUUUUGUUUUUAGGAUGAUGUUUUGCUUCCAAUGAUAGUAGUUGCUAGAUAUGGGGUCGAGCUGAAACAUGAAAUUGUCCUGAUUGAUCUUUGUGACAACUGUAUCAAGCUUAAAUUAAAAACCGGAGAAAACAAAAUUUGGAUACCUUCCGGUGAGAUAGACAAGUUAUUUGCUUUCUAUAAGUUCAAGAGUGUGGUGAAGAUCGGUCUAAUGCAUGUCACAAGUGUCAUAUAUUUUGUGGCUCCUGUGGAUAGGCGAAAUAAACCAAUUUAUAUGGAUUUUUAUGCUUUUCACUAUGUUAAAGAUAUUAUUAAUAUAUCUUUACUAAAAAUAAUUCAAGAUCAGUUGGGAUUGAAUUAUUUUGAUGGAUUGGAUGAUGUUUCAUAUGGUAUAGAAGAUAAUGAGAUGCAUGAUCAUAUGAAAAGUUCUAGUAUGUAAAGGAUUCUAAAGAACAUUUCCAAUAGAACUACUGUCAAGAAAAGGUCAAUAACAAAAAAAAAGAGGGUGUGUUAAUUUUUUUUGGUUUAAUAUUAAAUUGUUCUUACAUCUUUCACUGUUACAAUUUUUAGUUUCCUUAUAUUUUUCCUAUCAAUUAAAAUUGAAAUAUAUAGAUGUGUUGCUGAACAUCACAGCAAGAGGUUGACUGAGUAUGAUAUGAAGGCUGAUCGAUUUUAUAUUCCCUGUGAGUUUGCUAGAUUACUACUUACGAGUGGAGGAUUGGAAGAUUGAAAAUUUACUGUUAAGGACUCAAAGAUUGCUAAAACCUUUGCAAUGCAUGUCUUGAAAAGUAAGGGAAGGAAUCGAGAGUACAAAAUAGGACCCAAAUGAAAAGAUUUUGUCAGGAUGCAUAAACUUAGGCCUGAAUAUUUAUGUAUAUUUAGUAGUGUUUCGAACGAAGAUCAUUUGAUUCAGGUUUUUGUGGUUAGAAAGUAAUUAUUCAGCUGCUUUGAGACUUUCUUUUAUUAAUUUUGGGAUAUGUAUUCUAUUUUGGAUCCUGAAUUUUUCAUUAUCUAAAAUUCAAAAUAUGUAUGGGAUGUGAAUUUCUUGGUUAA